This 328-nucleotide ribosomal RNA is filed under the name uncultured eukaryote. Its description in RNAcentral is "partial 18S ribosomal RNA". It matches the Rfam family "Eukaryotic small subunit ribosomal RNA", at positions 1470 to 1796 of the family's 1831-position model. The record is from RNAcentral.
CCCUUAGAUGUCCGGGGCUGCACGCGCGCUACACUGAAGGAAUCAGCGUGCUAAAACCAUUGUCGAAAGGCAUUGGUAAACCCAUUAAAAUCCUACGUGAUUGGGAUCGGGAAUUGCAAUUAUUUCCCUUGAACGAGGAAUUCCCAGUAAGUGUGGGUCAUAAGCUCGCGUUGAUUACGUCCCUGCCCUUUGUACACACCGCCCGUCGCUGCCCGGGACUGAGUCGUUUCGAGAAAAGCGGGGACUGCUGCUGUCGGGGCUUUCGGGCCUUGGCUUCGGUGGAAACCGCUUUAAUCGCAGUGGCUUGAACCGGGCAAAANUCGUANCA